AGAGUUUGAUCAUGGCUCAGGAUGAACGCUGGCGGCGUGCCUAAUACAUGCAAGUCGAACGAGAGUGCUUGCACUCGAGUGGCGAACGGGUGAGUAACACGUAGGUAACCUGCCUUACAGUUUGGGAUACCCGAGGGAAACCUUGGCUAAUACCGAAUAAUUCUUUUGGAGGCAUCUCCGAAAGCUAAAAGGGGCCUUUAAAGCCUCGCUGAAUGAUGGACCUGCGGCGCAUUAGCUAGUUGGUGAGAUAAUAGCCCACCAAGGCGAGGAUGCGUAGCCGACCUAAGAGGGUGAACGGCCACACUGGAACUGAGACACGGUCCAGACUCCUACGGGAGGCAGCAGUAGGGAGUUUUCGGCAAUGGGGGAAACCCUGACCGAGCAACGCCGCGUGAAACCGAUGAAGGUCUUCGGAUUGUAAAGUUCUGUUAUAAGGGAAGAAUGAUAGCUUGAGGAAAUGCUAGUUAUUUGACGGUACCUUAUUAGAAAGCCACGGCUAACUACGUGCCAGCCGCCGC
Molecule: ribosomal RNA, 518 nt
Filed under: uncultured bacterium
Lineage: Bacteria
Description: bacterial SSU rRNA
Rfam family: Bacterial small subunit ribosomal RNA
Source: RNAcentral